RNAcentral lists this transfer-messenger RNA (351 nucleotides) under Fimbriimonadales. RNAcentral describes it as "HRBIN15 sp002898555 X2 Standard tmRNA". It matches the Rfam family "transfer-messenger RNA". From Rfam's summary of the family: Bacterial tmRNA, also known as 10Sa RNA or SsrA, is named for its dual tRNA and mRNA-like properties. Its role is to liberate the mRNA from a stalled ribosome. Lineage: Bacteria; Bacillati; Armatimonadota; Fimbriimonadia. The record is from RNAcentral. RNAcentral also lists the same sequence under 1 other name.
GGGGGCGUCAGGGCUCGACAGCGCAGGUCUGACGCUCAGUGGCGAGCCGAGGUGCCGUGGGCCUCGUAAAAAAACGGCGCACAAGAAGUGCGAACUAUAACUAUGCUCUUGCUGCCUAAUUAAUGGCAGCCGCCACCUUGCCUGUCGUCGGUCCGGGCAAGUGUGCGCGUGGGUCAGACCGACUGGCUCCCGACGCUUCGCCCGGAGCGAAGGGAGGACACGACACCGGGCUGGCGCGGCGAUUCCCUGUCCGCCGGGACGCGCCGCGCGAGAAACAAAGACGGACUACGCUCGUAGAAGCUGAGUGAGCAGCUGUGCUGGAAGGGGGUUCAAUUCCCCCCGCCUCCACCA